UGGGGCAGGGACCCAGCGUCACGUUUUUCGUGGGCCGCCUUUCCACUGGGUGGCGCUGUGCAGCAGCGUUAGCCAAAUUUCGAUCCCGCCUGGUAAAGACCCUCAGGAAAUAGGAUGCCCGAGCUGCUGCGGAAAUGGCCGGAAGCGUGGGAUCGGUCUCAUGUCAAACGUCACCUCAUUUUCAUUGCCAAGGAGCCAGAACACGAAUAAAAGCGCUGCCUCCACCUGGAAGACCCCUGUCCCUACUUCAAAGCCCCCAUCUUAAGGCUUCUCCCCAUGCAGCUGGAUUCCCCAGGCAGAGCCCUCUUCAUCAACCUGGGUCCCUCUUUGUGUCCCCCAUGCUGACCCCGGCAGCCGGACAUGUCCAUGUCUAGCUUAAGGCCCUGACUACAGCAAGUACUCAAUAAAAGUUGACAGCGUGGGCAGGCGGACUGACAUCUA
Long non-coding RNA from Fukomys damarensis (Damara mole-rat), 441 nucleotides. RefSeq lists it as uncharacterized. The record is from RefSeq and is a predicted model, not a curated record. NCBI's taxonomy places the organism in Eukaryota, Metazoa, Chordata, Mammalia, Rodentia, Bathyergidae. The transcript is spliced from 3 exons.